UCCGAGUUAGUAUAUCGGCUAGUAUAUCCGCCUUUCAUGUUCGUCAGAGGGGCGCGGAGGAGACGGGUUCGAUUCCCGUACUCGGAA
This 87-nucleotide transfer RNA is filed under the name Puccinia graminis f. sp. tritici. RNAcentral describes it as "tRNA-Glu". It matches the Rfam family "tRNA". Rfam says of the family: Transfer RNA (tRNA) molecules are approximately 80 nucleotides in length. The record is from RNAcentral. Lineage: Eukaryota; Fungi; Basidiomycota; Pucciniomycetes; Pucciniales; Pucciniaceae.